CUGUGUGUAACUCUAGCUGUCCUGGAACUUCUACAGAUCAGACUGAUCUUGAAGUCACAGAAAUCCUCCUGCCUCUACCUCCUCAAUGUUGGAAUUAAAGAAGUGGAAACUCGGCCUGUCGGUUCUGAAAGAGAUUAGCGAAGGGACAGUAACCGUGAUGUCACCGGCAUAAACCUACACCGAGGUCCUGCUGAUGCUUUUCAACAAAGAUUUGGCCUCCUUCAAGCCACCAGAGGGACAGAGAGCUGACUGGAGCAUCCUAGACAUUGCUGGGAGUGGAGCCUGCACUUGGAAGAAGUGAACUGGUCCAGUGAGCAGUUGCAAAGAACUCAAGCUCAGCUCCCAGAGCCAAGCAGAUCUGACCUCAUCAUGCUGCCGGAUUUCCUGUCCUCCUCCCUUUGCUCUGUAACUGGUCCAUUCAGGUACAAUAAGCAGAAUGUUUUGCUUGAGAGAUGUAUCCUUUCUUUUCAGACAGGCAAAUAAAUUCAUCUUUGUUUCCAAUUA
This is a long non-coding RNA of Peromyscus leucopus (white-footed mouse), 504 nucleotides long. RefSeq lists it as uncharacterized. The transcript is spliced from 2 exons. NCBI's taxonomy places the organism in Eukaryota, Metazoa, Chordata, Mammalia, Rodentia, Cricetidae. The record is from RefSeq and is a predicted model, not a curated record.